GGAGGCGCGGUAGGAGGGGAAUGAGAGGGAGGAGAGGAGGAAGGGGGGAGGAGGCAGGCAAGCGCCCGCGGUGAGGAACUGCGCCCUCUGGUGGUCAUUCUGAGAAGCUGCGGACAAGGUGGACUUGGUGCCCAGCGUGGGGCGGGCUCAGGCUCGGGAGAAGCAUGGCAAGGGCCCGAGCUAUAAGGUGGAUCACCCACCGAGGUGGCUAAAGGCUCUAAUCCUGCUGCCUUUGGCUGGAGGAGAGUUAAGUCUGUCCCUCUCCAGGACUUGUCAGGAUGGAGAAUUCUGAGCUUUGCUCGGACUCCAUCAGCGGUUGAGCCCCCGUCCGUGGUCAGGCAAGCUUUGGAGUGUGUCCAAUGAGAAGGAGUUAUUAUCUCAUUUGACGGAGGAGGAAACAAACUCAGAGCCAUGACCAAUCAUCUGUGCUCUUCUCUCUGUGCCUAACAUUGUCAUCUCCCAUGUGCACCACUGGCCCACCUUUGAGAAAGAAUUCAAACUCCACUUCCUGGCCAGGCUGGUCUCGAAAUCCUGACCUCAAACCCCACUUUCUUCAUGAGGCUUGCUAUGACCCCACCACACCCACCAGGCCAGACCACCAUCACCUCUCACUGGACCCUGCUACGACCACCUCCCUGAUCUUUCUGCCCUUGGGCUCGCUCCAUGCAGCCCCUUCUCCACACAGCAGCAGCCAGAGGCAGUUUCUGGAGCCCACAGCUGAAUGCGUUGUUCUCCUUGCUCAGGCAGAGAAGAGGACAGAUGGGGUUUUGGUCUCCUGUGUGUAGCCAGAGGGACUGCCUUGCCCUUCACCAUCUCCAGUAGUUCCUGAGACCACAGCUGCUGAUGGCAAAUGCCCCCAGUCCCAGCCAUGCCCCAGCCCCCUGCAUUGAGAGACCCAGCUCCACCCAGAGGGCAGCUGCAGCCUCCUUCAUCCACAGCCACUGCUGUGACCAAGAGGGACCUUGUCCUGGAAGGCCAGUGGAGCCCUUCUGAGGCCUUCACAGGCCCAAUGUCCACCCUGGUCGUGACACGUAUAAUAACACAGCUCUUGCAUUAAAUACUAUUUACUGCAGCAGAAGUUUUUUUUUUUUUUUAAGUUUGUUAUAAUUUUGAAUUUUGUGAAGAGUGAAUUAUUCAUUUUGUUUUUUAACUUGAAUUUAUUCAUUAUACCUAAGUAAGAAUUGAUCUGGGCUAUGCUUGGCUAGUUGGUGUAAUACCACAUCUGUAGACAUUUAAUUAAACAUGUAUUAAUUUUAA
Gorilla gorilla gorilla (western lowland gorilla) is the source of this 1257-nucleotide long non-coding RNA. RefSeq lists it as uncharacterized. NCBI's taxonomy places the organism in Eukaryota, Metazoa, Chordata, Mammalia, Primates, Hominidae. The record is from RefSeq and is a predicted model, not a curated record. The transcript has 3 exons.